AUCUAUCUCUCUGUCUCUUUCCAUUGCUUCUAUCCUCCUCUCUCUUAUCGCCUUCAUUUCUAUUUCUCUGGAAUCAUACUCCACUUCUUUGUCUUUCUCUCUCAAAAUUUCCCAUAAACAUCCGAUGUAUCGCUCAUGCUAAUCGUCUGCAAUCUCCGUAUGAACCAGCGUAGCUCCAUCAUUUCAACCCUAUUCGUCGUCUCAAAAACCCUAGGUUCAUAAUCCAAUUGGAGUUUCCUUCAAUGGUGUCAUCGAAGGUGAUAAAGAAGAAACUCUUUCUCUUCCUCUCUCUUGCUCUAUUCUUUUACUGAUUGGAGUUUUCGUUGAGGUUGGGUUCAAUGAAGGUUGGGUUCUCUUCACUGAAGCAAGCAACAAUGUGUCAACAAAUUGAAUUGAAGUCCCCCACAUACCAAGGUUUGUAUGAUGCUUCUUAAGACUUUUGGAGCUCAACAAAUGCUCAAAACAAUCCCAAGGUAUGCAAGUCCAAAAGGCACUAUUAUUUGCCUCUUGCUAUCAUGCAUGCACACAAACAUAAAAGGUUAUUUCUAAAAGUUUGCUUAUUUGAGAAUCGUAUAAGAUGCAGGAAAAAAGAAAGGCAAAAGAUCUACUGUGGCAAAUUCCUUGUCUUUUUCUUCAGUCCAUUUAUUUGGUAUAAUUGCAAAUAUGGAUAAAAGACUAAAAAUAAUUAUAGGGAGGUGAGGGUUAGAACUCGUUUUGUGGGCUUUUUUUGUACAAUGCAAGUUGUACCCCAUGUUUGUGUAACUACUUUUGAUCAUUACGACUGAAUUGUAAUUCUCCUUUUAUUUGGAUGA
Molecule: long non-coding RNA, 812 nt
Organism: Camellia sinensis
Lineage: Eukaryota; Viridiplantae; Streptophyta; Magnoliopsida; Ericales; Theaceae
Source: RefSeq, a predicted model, not a curated record